GACGAACGCUGGCGGCGUGCCUAAUACAUGCAAGUCGAACGAGAGCGACCGGUGCUUGCACUGGUCAAUCUAGUGGCGAACGGGUGAGUAACACGUGGGUAACCUGCCCAUCAGAGGGGGAUAACAUCCGGAAACGGAUGCUAAAACCGCAUAGGUCUUCGAGCCGCAUGGCUUGAAGAGGAAAAGAGGCGCAAGCUUCUGCUGAUGGAUGGACCCGCGGUGCAUUAGCUAGUUGGUGAGGUAACGGCUCACCAAGGCCGUGAUGCAUAGCCGACCUGAGAGGGUGAUCGGCCACAUUGGGACUGAGACACGGCCCAAACUCCUACGGGAGGCAGCAGUAGGGAAUCUUCCGCAAUGGACGCAAGUCUGACGGAGCAACGCCGCGUGAGUGAAGAAGGUGUUCGGAUCGUAAAACUCUGUUGUUAGAGAAGAACAAGUGCUAGAGUAACUGUUAGCGACUUGACGGUAUCUAACCAGAAAGCCACGGCUAACUACGUG
RNAcentral lists this ribosomal RNA (498 nucleotides) under uncultured bacterium. Its description in RNAcentral is "partial 16S ribosomal RNA". It matches the Rfam family "Bacterial small subunit ribosomal RNA", at positions 28 to 507 of the family's 1533-position model. The record is from RNAcentral.